Molecule: transfer RNA, 71 nt
Filed under: Algoriphagus sp. 4150
Lineage: Bacteria; Pseudomonadati; Bacteroidota; Cytophagia; Cytophagales; Cyclobacteriaceae
Description: tRNA-Cys
Rfam family: tRNA
About the family: Transfer RNA (tRNA) molecules are approximately 80 nucleotides in length. Their secondary structure includes four short double-helical elements and three loops (D, anti-codon, and T loops).
Source: RNAcentral
AACCAAAUGGCCGAGUGGAUAGGCAAUGGUCAGCAAAACCAUGUAUGGGGGUUCGAAUCCCCCUUUGGUUA